CGCGGGUCGAGUGCUGUAGUUCGAUAUUUGCGUGUGUGCGUUGCUUGCGGCCUUUGUGCCUUUUUAUUCUUUGCUUACCUUUAUGAUAUAAAGACCUUAUUUCUUACAAGGAGGAAAAGACCGCUGACUUCAGAAACAGCGGGAACUCCAGCUCGUCCCCGCAUUCUCAGUUUACAGCUGAGGAAACUAAGCUUCAAGUUGCCCAAGUUUAUAGAAUGAGUCAAUGGCAGAGGUUGAACUCAGAUGACAAAAUUGGGGUCUGGACAUGUGCAAGGACUUUUCCGAAGUCAGCUGGAAAGGAGCUGCUUAGCUGAGAGGUUCUGGCUCCAAAGUCUCCUGUGAAGUUGCAGUCAAGAUGUCUGCUGGGACCCCAGUCAUUUGAAGCCCUGUCUGGGGCAGGAGAAUCUAGGUCCAAAAUGGCCGUUGCAGGAGUCCUUAUCCACACCAUGUGGGGCCUCUUCAUAGAUGUUCGAGUGUCCUCAUGGCAUGGCCACUGGCUUUCCCCAAAGUAAGCAGUCCAAAAGAGGGUAAGACAGAGCCCACACUGUCUUUUAUGAAUUAGCCUUGGAAGUCUAACACGGUUACUUCCACCACAUUCAUUAGUCGUUAGGUACAGCUCACAUUCAUGGGGAGGAAAAUCAGGGCCUGUCUUUAGAUAGGAGAUGUAUCAAAGAAUUUGUGGACAUAUUUUAAAAUCACAGCACUACUCUUGAUGUACUAAGUCAGUGACUCCCCCAGGAGUCUCACAGAGAAUUGACUCCUUGCCCACCUAUACUACCUUUGUGGGUAGAGACUCCAGUAGUGUGCUGGUUAAUGUUCAACCAGUGGCUUUCUAGAAAACAAAAUGUAUGGAUACAUAUAUAUGUUCUAAGUUUUACUGAUAUGAAGAAUGUGUAGCACAGAAUUUAUAAAUAAUAAAAUAUACAGUAUUAUUUAUUGUAAAUUCCAUAAAACCUGUUGUUUUUCACAAAAGGUUUUAGUUUAUUUUUCCCAAAUGCUUGUAUCGGUAACAUUUUCUGUAUUACUUUUU
RNAcentral lists this non-coding RNA (1030 nucleotides) under Pan troglodytes (chimpanzee). Lineage: Eukaryota; Metazoa; Chordata; Mammalia; Primates; Hominidae. The record is from RNAcentral.